This 1070-nucleotide ribosomal RNA is filed under the name marine bacterium AK14_031. Its description in RNAcentral is "bacterial SSU rRNA". It matches the Rfam family "Bacterial small subunit ribosomal RNA", at positions 61 to 1116 of the family's 1533-position model. The record is from RNAcentral.
GGCAGCGACUUAACUGAACCUUCGGGGAACGUUAAGGGCGGCCCCCUGUUGGACGGGUGAGUAAUGCCUGGGAAUAUGCCCUGAUGUGGGGGAUAACUAUUGGAAACGAUAGCUAAUACCGCAUAAUCUCUUCGGAGCAAAGAGGGGGACCUUCGGGCCUCUCGCGUCAGGAUUAGCCCAGGUGGGAUUAGCUUGUUGGUGAGGUAAUGGCUCACCAAGGCAACGAUCCCUAGCUGGUCUGAGAGGAUGAUCAGCCACACUGGAACUGAGACACGGUCCAGACUCCUACGGGAGGCAGCAGUGGGGAAUAUUGCACAAUGGGGGAAACCCUGAUGCAGCCAUGCCGCGUGUAUGAAGAAGGCCUUCGGGUUGUAAAGUACUUUCAGUAGGGAGGAAGGCAGUGUCGUUAAUAGCGGCAUUGUUUGACGUUACCUACAGAAGAAGCACCGGCUAACUCCGUGCCAGCAGCCGCGGUAAUACGGAGGGUGCGAGCGUUAAUCGGAAUUACUGGGCGUAAAGCGCAUGCAGGCGGUCUGUUAAGCAAGAUGUGAAAGCCCGGGGCUCAACCUCGGAACAGCAUUUUGAACUGGCAGACUAGAGUCUUGUAGAGGGGGGUAGAAUUUCAGGUGUAGCGGUGAAAUGCGUAGAGAUCUGAAGGAAUACCGGUGGCGAAGGCGGCCCCCUGGACAAAGACUGACGCUCAGAUGCGAAAGCGUGGGGAGCAAACAGGAUUAGAUACCCUGGUAGUCCACGCCGUAAACGAUGUCUACUUGGAGGUUGUGGCCUUGAGCCGUGGCUUUCGGAGCUAACGCGUUAAGUAGACCGCCUGGGGAGUACGGUCGCAAGAUUAAAACUCAAAUGAAUUGACGGGGGCCCGCACAAGCGGUGGAGCAUGUGGUUUAAUUCGAUGCAACGCGAAGAACCUUACCUACUCUUGACAUCCAGAGAACUUUCCAGAGAUGGAUUGGUGCCUUCGGGAACUCUGAGACAGGUGCUGCAUGGCUGUCGUCAGCUCGUGUUGUGAAAUGUUGGGUUAAGUCCCGCAACGAGCGCAACCCUUAUCCUUGUUU